This 521-nucleotide ribosomal RNA is filed under the name uncultured bacterium. Its description in RNAcentral is "bacterial SSU rRNA". It matches the Rfam family "Bacterial small subunit ribosomal RNA", at positions 26 to 518 of the family's 1533-position model. The record is from RNAcentral.
AGGACGAACGCUGGCGGCGUGCCUAAUACAUGCAAGUCGAACGGUCUUUCUAUGGAAGCUUGCUUCCACUGAGAAGAUAGUGGCGAACGGGUGAGUAACACGUGGGUAACCUGCCCAUAAGAGGGGGAGUAACAUCCGGAAACGGGUGCUAAUACCGCAUAGUUUUCUUGAUCGCAUGAUCGGGAAAGGAAAGACGGCCUUUGUGCUGUCGCUUAUGGAUGGACCCGCGGCGUAUUAGUUAGUUGGUGAGGUAACGGCUCACCAAGACGAUGAUACGUAGCCGACCUGAGAGGGUGAUCGGCCACAUUGGGACUGAGACACGGCCCAAACUCCUACGGGAGGCAGCAGUAGGGAAUCUUCCGCAAUGGACGAAAGUCUGACGGAGCAACGCCGCGUGAGUGAAGAAAAGGUUUUCGGAUCGUAAAACUCUGUUGUCAGAGAAGAACAAGUUGGAGAGUAACUGCUCCAGCCUUGACGGUAUCUGACCAGAAAGCCACGGCUAACUACGUGCCAGCCGCCGC